GGGGAACUAGCUCAUAUGGUAGAGCGAUCGCUUUGCAUGCGAUAGGCGCGGGGAUCGAUACCCCGGUUCUCCA
This 73-nucleotide transfer RNA is filed under the name Mitosporidium daphniae. It matches the Rfam family "tRNA". From Rfam's summary of the family: Transfer RNA (tRNA) molecules are approximately 80 nucleotides in length. Their secondary structure includes four short double-helical elements and three loops (D, anti-codon, and T loops). Lineage: Eukaryota; Fungi; Microsporidia. The record is from Rfam by way of RNAcentral.